CUCUAAUCCAACAAGACUGGUGUCCUUAAAAGAAGAGGGAAAUAUGGACACAGACAUAGACACAGAGGAAGAUGAUGUGAAGACACACAGGGAAAACAUCAUGUAAAGACAGGCUUGGAGUGGUGCACCUACAAGGCCCCUGGAAGAUUGGAUGGUGCCUGCCUAUACGGAGGGCGGAUCUUCCCCUCCUCGUCCACUCAGACUCACAUGCAAGUCUCCUCUAGAAACACCCUUGCAGACACACCCCAAAAUGACACUUUUAGAGUGUCUUCGAAGAAGGUAAAUAUUGUUCCCAUUUUGUGGAUAAGAAAAAUGAGAACCAGAGCGAUCAAGGGCUUGCUCAAAAGUACUCAACCAGUUAAUGUCAGAGCUGGCACCUGAACUCAGGCCUCUACAACUCUAAAUGUUUUCAAUGAUAGCAGAAUUGCCUCUAAUGGCAAAACAUUGUAGAAUCAUAUUGAUGUUUCAGAUUAUAUUGCCAGUCGUACUUCGUUGAGCUAUGCUUGGUAAUGCCACUGCCAUCUUGGAAAGAAAAUAGAUGCUGAAGUUCCCCAUAGAUGCUGAACACUCAGAAAGUGCCAAUAGUUGCAUCGAUUUGAUUGUAUCUGCUACCUCAUUCCCUCUGAAACACCUGCAAAUAAAGGAAAAUAACUAACCCAUUGUGCCCCCAUCUAAGAAUGCCUGAAAUCAGAAAUAUCCCAGCAUUGUGACCUGAAGUUGCCUCAGCAGGAAGUUCUGUUUUUUAAAUUAGGACUCUAGCCAUUUUUUUUCCCAGUAGCUCUUAUUGCCAGUGGGGCUUUGAGCAAACAGUUCCCAGGAAAGCUGUCUAUACCUACAUGAUAUGAAGACAAUAAUGAUACCUGCUUCCUGUCUACCUGGCAAGUGUGUUGGGAAAAGCAAUAAGAUAAUGUCUGUCAUGUGCUUUGAAUGCCUAGAAAGAAAGAUAGGGUUUAUGAGCAAGGGUGUGAUUAUAUUGAGUCAGCC
This 984-nucleotide long non-coding RNA is filed under the name Homo sapiens (human). Its description in RNAcentral is "HSALNT0298776". Lineage: Eukaryota; Metazoa; Chordata; Mammalia; Primates; Hominidae. The record is from RNAcentral.